GGUAUAGCGCAGUUGGUUAGCGCGUCAGAUUGUGGCUCUGAAGGCCUAGGGUUCGAAUCCCUAU
RNAcentral lists this transfer RNA (64 nucleotides) under chicken gut metagenome. It matches the Rfam family "tRNA", at positions 7 to 64 of the family's 71-position model. From Rfam's summary of the family: Transfer RNA (tRNA) molecules are approximately 80 nucleotides in length. Their secondary structure includes four short double-helical elements and three loops (D, anti-codon, and T loops). The record is from RNAcentral.